RNAcentral lists this ribosomal RNA (464 nucleotides) under uncultured bacterium. RNAcentral describes it as "partial 16S ribosomal RNA". It matches the Rfam family "Bacterial small subunit ribosomal RNA", at positions 339 to 795 of the family's 1533-position model. The record is from RNAcentral.
CUACGGGAGGCAGCAGUGGGGAAUAUUGCACAAUGGGCGCAAGCCUGAUGCAGCCAUGCCGCGUGUGUGAAGAAGGCCUUCGGGUUGUAAAGCACUUUCAGUGGUGAGGAAGGCCAAGUAGUUAAUACCUGCUUGGAUUGACGUUAGCCACAGAAGAAGCACCGGCUAACUCCGUGCCAGCAGCCGCGGUAAUACGGAGGGUGCGAGCGUUAAUCGGAAUUACUGGGCGUAAAGCGCACGUAGGUGGCUUACUAAGCCAGAUGUGAAAGCCCCGGGCUUAACCUGGGAACUGCAUUUGGAACUGGUUCGCUAGAGUAUGAUAGAGGAGUGUGGAAUUUCCGGUGUAGCGGUGAAAUGCGUAGAGAUCGGAAGGAACAUCAGUGGCGAAGGCGGCACUCUGGAUUAAUACUGACGCUGAGGUGCGAAAGCGUGGGGAGCAAACAGGAUUAGAUACCCCCGUAGUC